CAAGUCGAACGGAAUUCUUCGGGAUUUAGUGGCGGACGGGUGAGUAACGCGUGAGAAUCUGCCCUUAGGUUGGGGACAACAGUUGGAAGCGACUGCUAAUACCCAAUGUGCCGAGAGGUGAAAGGUUAACUGCCUGGGGAUGAGCUCGCGUCUGAUUAGCUAGUUGGAGUGGUAACGGCACACCAAGGCGACGAUCAGUAGCUGGUCUGAGAGGAUGAUCAGCCACACUGGGACUGAGACACGGCCCAGACUCCUACGGGAGGCAGCAGUGGGGAAUUUUCCGCAAUGGGCGAAAGCCUGACGGAGCAAGACCGCGUGAGGGAGGAAGGCCUAUUGGUUGUAAACCUCUUUUGAUAGGGAAGAACACAAUGACGGUACCUAUCGAAUCAGCAUCGGCUAACUCCGUGCCAGCAGCCGCGGUAAUACGGAGGAUGCAAGCGUUAUCCGGAUUUAUUGGGCGUAAAGCGUCCGUAGGUGGCAAACCAAGUCAGUUGUUAAAGCGUAGAGCUUAACUCUAUAAGGGCAAUUGAAACUGGUUAGCUAGAGUGCGAUAGGGGCAAGGGGAAUUCCCAGUGUAGCGGUGAAAUGCGUAGAUAUUGGGAAGAACAUCGGUGGCGAAGGCGCCUUGCUGGGUCUGCACUGACACUGAGGGACGAAAGCUAGGGGAGCGAAAGGGAUUAGAUACCCCUGUAGUCCUAGCCGUAAACGAUGGAUACUAGGCGUUGUCCGUAUCGACCCGAGCCGUGCCGAAGC
Molecule: ribosomal RNA, 753 nt
Filed under: uncultured cyanobacterium
Lineage: Bacteria; Bacillati; Cyanobacteriota
Description: bacterial SSU rRNA
Rfam family: Bacterial small subunit ribosomal RNA
Source: RNAcentral